UUGUAUUUCUGAAGUAUGAUUUGGAUGGAUAAAUUAUUUGCUGAAAAAUAAAUAACAUUUACAUUUGAUGCCAUUUUUCAUCUUUUCAUUUUGCAACUGUCAUAUAUUUCCAUUUCGACUCUGCUACAUAGUCAGACAUUCGCCAUGGACAGCCUAUCCUAUUCUACUUUUUUUUUCUUCUCCUUUUUCUUUUUGGCCGAUUUGAGGAAAACGUACCGGCAACGAUCGAUGCUACUAUACGUUAGCUACCCGAUAGAGGCAGUGAAACGUAAAGGACAACGAAAUAAAAGAAAAUAUAUAAAGCAGAAGGUGGGAGAAAGAGAGUUCUAAAAUCCUACGGGUACACGUACCGCAAGAAAUUCGCUGCGAGAAAGAGAACGAGCUUAGUCGCCUCCUCGCGUGUCCGAGAGACGUCGGCUGAGGCAAGAGCAAAGUUUGUCCUCGUCGGCGAGACAGGGGAAGAUAGCGGGUAAGAGAGAGAGAGAGAGAGAGAGUGGAAGAGAGAGAGAGAGAGAGAGAGAGAAGUGAAAGCAACGAUGAGAGUGGGAAAGAGAGAGAGAGGUGGUCAUAAUCGCGCAGACCGCGUCAUAAUCCGCGACGAAAAACAUUUGACGAGCGCGCCGGGCUGGUAAAGGGGCAACGCGAUUGGGCGUGACUCGACCUGACACCGCCCACGUUCCUGAGUUUGCCCCACCGCUGUUGCAGUCGCGAGAGAUAGGGAGGGGGAGGAAUCAGGCUCAACGUGAAACGCGCGGUGAAAGACGAGGGGAAAGGUGGAGGGGGUCCGCGAGACGAGGACGGACACUCGCGCGGCAUUCGUCCCGCGACCACGAUCAGAGCAGGACGAGAGAUUAAACACACACAAUAAUACGUCUCGUAGCGGUGCGCGCGCGCGCGCGCGUGCCCGCUCGCAUGCUGUCCAGUGCACACACGACGAGAUUUUUUUGCGCGCGUACGCGGUAGUCCUGUUGGUUGGCCGCGUGUGUGGAGAUCGGCCGAGGGUUUGCGCGGACGAACGCCGCGCACCGUUCCGUAUACGCUACGCUUAUUGUAUAUCGGCACUGCCGAUGGACAUUCCGCAAGACCGCAGAUUUUGCCGGGCAAUUACACUGCGCCUAACUGCGCGACUUUAGACCUUGCUAGGUGUGCACAUUGGUACUGCGAGACAAAUUGUUAAAUUGUUAAAUAAAUUGUACUGUAAAGUUCCGGCUGAGACGUUUAUACGAAAAGACAUUGGAGAUUUUCUGAUCCGGAGUACACCUGUGUGUGCAUCGCUUUGAUAUAAGGAUAUUAAAUACAAGCGAUAAUCUAACAUCCAACUUGUAUGUGCAGGAAGAAUAAAUGAUUGGGUUAAGU
Ooceraea biroi (clonal raider ant) is the source of this 1356-nucleotide long non-coding RNA. RefSeq lists it as uncharacterized. Lineage: Eukaryota; Metazoa; Arthropoda; Insecta; Hymenoptera; Formicidae. The record is from RefSeq and is a predicted model, not a curated record.